UACGGAGGGGACUAGCGUUGUUCGGAAUUACUGGGCGUAAAGCGUACGUAGGCGGAUCAGAAAGUAAGGGGUGAAAUCCCGGGGCUCAACCCCGGAACUGCCUCUUAAACUCCUGGUCUUGAGUUCGAGAGAGGUGAGUGGAAUUCCGAGUGUAGAGGUGAAAUUCGUAGAUAUUCGGAGGAACACCAGUGGCGAAGGCGGCUCACUGGCUCGAUACUGACGCUGAGGUACGAAAGUGUGGGGAGCAAAC
This 250-nucleotide ribosomal RNA is filed under the name uncultured bacterium. RNAcentral describes it as "partial 16S ribosomal RNA". It matches the Rfam family "Bacterial small subunit ribosomal RNA", at positions 524 to 773 of the family's 1533-position model. The record is from RNAcentral.